CGCAAUUUCAAUUCAAUGUGUUUAAUGCAGGCCUGAAUCACUUCAUUGAAUAUAUCUAUUGUUCCCUGGACGACAGAUAGAUGGCAGUGUAGCGCAGCUGUUGAACAGAAAGGCCGAAAUAGAAUGUUUGCUGAAAUAGAGCACAACUGCUCAGCUACAGCGAUCGACACAUCAGUUUGCUACCAGCCAAUUUUGCAGUCUGGUCGACAUGGAUCGAUUUAUUGUAAAAAAGAAACAAAAAUCUAUUGACAAUGAAAAUGUGGAAAUGCAGCUAGCUGACGUGCCUCCGGUGGCUAAGAGAAGGAUAUGAAGAACACAGAAAGUUCCAAGAGAAGUCGACAGACAAGUACUUUUUUGUACUGCAUGAUGGGACUAGCUCACUUUAUCUUAUUUGCCAGAAGGCAGUCAAUUGUUUUAAACGAGCAAAUUUAGAGAGCAACAUUUCCAGUCACACCAUGCCCACUUUGACAAAACAUAUCUGCCACAAAGCAACUUCAGAAACAACAAAAUAACGCAACUCAAAGGACCGCUCAAAGAACAACACAUGAUGGACAGAUCUAUCACUGUUGCAGAGAGAACCACAGAGGAAACAUGAGAUUGCUUGGAUACUAGCGAGGAACAAGAAGGCCUUCACAGAUGCAGAGAUUGACAAAUAAUGUUAUUUGGCCUCGGUCAAAAUGUUGUAUGCCGAUUUCACAAACAAGGAAGCUAUUUUAAAGCAAAUUAAGGGACUGCAACUCAGACUCGACCAUAACAAGAUGCAUAGAAGACAUCGGUAAGGAACUGAUUACUGUGGUGUUUUCGUAUUGCGCUUGACGAAAGCACCUACGAUAAGUGACAAUGCCCAAUUUUGUGUUUGGGUCUGCUUCCCUCAAAACGAGUCGUUCGGAGAAUAUAUUUUAUGUUUACUGCUCCUUCGGGGACAAACUGGAGCAGUGGAUAUUCUGAAAGCCCUUGUUCCAUUUUCUGCUGAUAAUAAUAUUGACUGGUAAAAUCUGGCCUCUGUGCACUGACGGCGCCCCAAACAUGUGAGGGAAGGAGAAGGGACUCAUAGGCCUGAUGAGACAGAGGAUAUUCCCGGAUUGUUUCAUUCAUUAGGAAGACUGAAUUACUGAAUGUUAUGUAGCAAGUCGUGCGCGUGGUGAACAUUAUUGCGAGGGCACUGAAUCACCGGUAAUUGCGCGAGUUGUUGGAGGAUUACCAGACAGAAUGCGGCGACUUGAUAUUUCACAAUGAGCUUUGGAAAUAAAAUAACUAUCCAUCCAUUACUCCUUCCUGUGUUGACUCAUGGACUUGAGGGACGGGACCAGGAAGGUCACACAAACAACGGUAGAGAGGAGCCAGAGCUCAGAGCAGUCACCACAUCCAACCCAGACAUACUGCAACAUUUUAGCUAUGAUGCAUUUGUGCGUGUGUUGGAAGAGUUGAAUUUGGAGUUUGAGUCAAGAUUCAAGGAUAUCAUGGAGUACAAGGAGAUUUUCAACUUCAUUGAGACCCCCUUUCAUGUGCCAGUGUUAUCCCCUACCCCCAGUCAUCACAGCCCUCUGUCCUGACCGUGCUGGAAUAGAGAGUGAGAUAGUGGAGCUGCAGGCAAAUGACACAUUUCAAGGUGAACUAAGAUCAGGUGUUACCCAUUUCUGGAGUCCUGUGUCAGACGCAGAGUAUCCACUUCUGAAGCAGUGUGGACAUCAUUUUUUGUCAGCACUCAUUCAUGUGAAGCAACAUUUUCAACAAUUACCAUUGUGAAAGAGAAACAGACUGACCAAUGCACACUGGAUUGCCUCAAAAGGAUAGCAACAACAGACAAUACAUUUAGAAUGAAUUCAGUCGAGGAGCAGAAGGGACAUUUUCACUCAUCCUAGUGAGUAAUACAGGUCUAGAGCAUUGACAAGAUCAUGAAUAACUGAAGUGGUUGCUAUAAUAAUGCUGUGCCCAGGCCUAAACCCUGAUUGAUUUACAUUCAAAAUCAUUCAAAGCUGCACAAAAUGUCAAUAUCAGUGGAGGCCAAGUGCCAAGUGAGCAUGAAAGAACAGUGCAUUACAACAUGGGACACGCAGCUCAAAAAUCUCCCCUAUUAAUCUUUAGGGACAACACAAUUAUCCUACCUAGAGUAGCCUACCGAACCACAUUGCAAUGAAUAAUUGUAUCACUCUUUUCACGUGAGUACAACAUUCUACUCUAGGCUUAGAGUGAAAGUGUCAUUUGAAUAAUGGCUCAAAACCCCUGUGAUUUGAAUAUUUAAUUCUAUUUGGAUCACUUCUGUGUCUACUCUCAACAACCCUCUGGCCCGUAGCCCUGUGUGGCAUCAACUGUGCCACAAAACUAUGCUGAAAUGGCAAAGUCAAUAUCCACUUUUAUAAACACAGGGUCACUACGGUUGUUAUUUGUGGUCGCAAACAUUCUUUUUCAGUUAAUUCUAUGAGGGCGGAGGGUGUUUUUUGAAGGUAGGGUCAUUUGAAAAUAUUUUUUACGUUGGGGAGGGGGAUGCAUUUUUUUUUAUUUUUAUGACACCUCGAGUUCGACCAGCUCCCCCCAGGAAAUUUCGAACAGUACCUAAUGAAUGUGACAAUCAUAGAUAUGGAAAGAUGGUACACCACCUAUCCUUGUAAUCGCGUCUUCUAUGACAGCCAUCAAUGGCGCUGUCCAUGCCAUCUCCAUUUUAAAGUAGUACAUUUCUUAUUCUUUUAUUUCCAUGAAUGUAUUGGCAGUUCAUAAAUAAACUGAAAAGUGGAGAGUGUAUAGUCUGAACCGGUAUAAAGCCAUGGUUGGUGAUUUACUGCCACCUACAGUUAUGGAAUGUUUGCUCAGGGGUAUAAUUCAUUGGGUGAUCCCUCCUGUUGACCUGGACGGAAUUCUGUGAUCCUUCCUUAACCCAUAGCAAUUUCAACCCAGUUGACUACUUAAAAAUGGGGAAAGCUCUCAAUGGCCUUGCUCAGCGAUGCCCUCUCGCUGAAUGAGACGUUAGCUCCCCUAAAUGCAACAAAUGUCAAACUUUGGGGUGGGGGGUCUCUAAGUGCUAAUUUAACCAUUCUCCUAUUUGUUUAAAAUAUAGUGGUUACACUUACAGUGCACUUUUCGAGAUCUUCAAGAUCCGUGAUUUGUACAGGGUUAGUAAUGACAAAAUAACAC
Oncorhynchus tshawytscha (Chinook salmon) is the source of this 3129-nucleotide long non-coding RNA. NCBI's taxonomy places the organism in Eukaryota, Metazoa, Chordata, Actinopteri, Salmoniformes, Salmonidae. The record is from Ensembl.